UAGCAUGCUGUUUGUAUUUUUAUCCAGAUAUUUCCAAAGGAUGUCCAAUAAUGUGGAUAAUCAUUUUACAAUUAAAGUAAGGGAAAGGUAAUUUCUUUUUAUUUUUCAAGGAUAAAAGGGGACAUCCUUUCUGUUGUUAUUUUCAAUAGCUCGUUUGCUCAGUAAACAGACAAGAAAAAAGGAACAGGGAUAGAUUUUUUCGAUGAGGUUGCCAAUCCAUUUGUUGGUUGUGGAGAAUUGGCCUGAAGCUUAAGUGAUAUUCCUAUUCACAUUAUGCCACACCUAUUUUCAAAACAAAGACAAGGAGGAAACACAGGUUUCAUAACCUGAAAUCUCUUCAGCUUCAUCAAAUGCCAAUAGGCAACUGCAAAGGCAGAAUAAAAUACACUAAUGUGUUUUGACACAAUAAUCGUGCCUGUUUCUCCUUAAUGAUCCAAGCUGGGGAUUUCCAGCCAUACAGAGGCAGGGCAGGGCUGUCAAACCACCAGAUGUGCCCCAUACUUGUAAGGGGCAUUUACUUAAUGGACCAUCUAAACACUUGUCUACAUGUCAGCGAUGAUGCAAACAUGACAUCUCUUAGCUUGAGAGUUGCUCUUGUGUGCAGACAACUUUGUGAAGUCAUGAGAUAGGACUUGGGAAGGAAUUUUUAACUGGGAAUACAUUUCAUGGCUCAGUUGCAGGCUGAAGACUGCAGAAAGGAAUUCACUUUCAGCAACUACGUGGAUCCGUGGAGUACGUCCAUUUUAUUUCAGUUCUGCACAGCUGGCCUACUGAGAAUCUUUCUUUUUCUCUUCUCAGAGCUGAGAGACGUCUCUUUAAAGAUUUUGGAACGACUAUUGCCAACUCUGCUUGAUGAUUUUUGUUUUGUUUCUCUCAAUCGGGAUAUUUCUUCUCGCCUAGCACACUCAGCUCCUCAUUCCACAUGGUUGGAGGAAGAUGCCCACCCACAGCUCCCAAGGCCACAUGUUGUAGUUCCAGGCACAUAGAAUGACUGAAUCAAUUCCAUUCUCUGACUCUCUGCUCUAAUUCCAGAUUCCAGGGAAAAACUGCCUAGCUCACUUCAGGCUCCCCUCUCUAGUCCAGUCAGCUGUGAAAUUCCCAAGCGUGGCUUUUGUCAGCCUAUUGCUUCAGGUUAAGUGAAACCUAACGGAAUGAUUGUGAACAGUUCAGAAACUGCAGAAAGUGUCUACUAUUGUCGGAGGAGAAUGCCCAGGGACAGAUGGGUAUGGAUAAGGGAAAAUAACAGGACACUAGAAAGGAAAAUCCUAAUCUUAUUUUUCCUACAGAGUAGGAAACAGUAUUCUAAACAUGUUCCCUUCACAGAAACUGUCAGUGACCCUCAGGAGCAGCUUAGCAGAUGGGUUGAAAAAAUCAGCAGGCUGAUCAUAAGUUUUCAACACCUUGGAAACAUCAGGCUUGGCCCUUGCUACCUCAUGCAUUAUUCAACCACAAUGCAUCUUCCCUCUGAUUGUGUUAUGUGCUAGAGGAGAACAGAAAGUUCUGUCUGUCUUUAGCAAACACAUUCCAAGUACUGUCUUAAAACUGAAGCGAAGAGUGUGAAAGCUGAUCGUCGUCUCCAUUUGAGUUUUAGGACUUUGACACUUGGACAAAUAUCACUUUGUGAGGAUUCCUUUUAAUAGUUCAGUGAAUGUUUUCCAGUAUACCAGAUGCUCUGUUGGUAGUUAUAUUAGGAUUUUUUGGUUGCAAGUAUCUAAAAACUGAAAUGUACCAGCUUAUAAACUUGGAAAACCUGAAGCAGCGCUGGCUAGACCAAACGGUUCAACAGUUCAGCAAAUGUCAUCAGGAUUUGGCCUCUUCGCAUCUUUUUACUCCAAUUUCUUCUGCGGCUGCUUUACUAUUACCAGCUGUCUCUACAUAGUGGCUCCAGAUUUUAUAUUGCCUGAUUGAAAUCUAAAAAAAAAAGGAAAACAAAAAGACUUGCCCCCUCCGCCCCCAAAUCAUUUCUCUUGCUUGUUUCAGCAAAAGUCCAAGGAUUAGCCUUGAGUGGUUGUGAUUGGUCCUGGGCCCAUUUCCAUUCUAACCACUGAGUCCAGGAAGAAGGGGUACUCUUAUUGGCCAAGCCUGGGUCACAUGGGCACUCCUGGAGUUGCGAUAGAGACAGCUCCAAACUAAACCAAGGAAGGAGACUAGGGGAGGGAUGGUUCCCCAAAGGAACCUCGGGACACUGACACCCAAAGAACGGGGAAUAGAUGCUGUGAAGGCAAACCCCACAAAUGUCUACUACCUAGGCUAAGGAACAAAACACAUACAACUUACUGUCAUAAAAACUUAAUGGUAAUAGAUGUUCUACAUGAGAUAUUUGGAUAACAAAGGAGAGAAGCUAUUAAUUCUGAGAAACCUAGGAAUCAGGUUUUUCAGAAAUGGUAACAUCUACGUUGGGCCUUGAAGGAUAUGAAGAUUUUGACUGGUGAAAAUGGUGGUGGUUGAGGGGGAGGUUGAGAGAGGACAUUCUAGGCAGAGAGAGGAAUAUGCAAAUACGCUGUGAGAGAUCUAAGCGGGUGGUACAUUUUGGAAGAUACUAGACCAACAUGUAUUGAGGUCAUGUAAGUUGAUACAAAUAUGAUAUUUCUGACCCUUGAGGCCUGGCAUUGAUACAUAUGUGUAUUUACUGAAGAUGCACGUAUUUAAGCCUUCAGUUCUCAAAUUAUAGACAAGCAUGGAGACAUCACAUGUAAUGGUGAAAUCAUCAGGGACUUUGAGUUUAGUUAAACGUGGUAUGAAUCCCAUCUCAGCUAACCACUAGCUAUAUGAUCUUGGAGAAGUAAGUGAAUGUUUAGUCUCAGUGUUUUUAUCUGUAGGGUAUCGCCCUUCUGAGAAUUAACUGAGAUGACAUAUGGAAAUCACCCACAAUAGUGUCUGGGAUAUAACAGACACUUAAUAAAUACUAGUUGCUCUCUCUUCCCAUUCUUCAUGUCCAUACGCUGUGUCUAAUAAGAACAUGAAUUUGAUUUGCUUUAAUGCACACGUAGCAAUCACCUACUUGUUACCCAUGGCACUCAAAGCUAUGCUCCAACUGGGCUGUGUGUAUAUAUUGGGAACCAUGCUGGAUAAUGCCUUUUGCCUCCCUAGAUCCGCUCUCCACCCUUCUCCACUCUGCCUAGUGUCCCAGAAGGCUAGCCUUUAGGGACUGUAUUAACAGAUUCUCCUGCCCUCUGGCUAACGGUGGGCUCAGUGAAAUACAGCAACAGGAGAUGGAGAGAGGAAAGAGUAAAUUAGAACUUUUAUUCCCCAGAUUCCCUUCGCAUAGAGCUGUCAUGGUUCUUGUCAGACAGGCUUCUUCACACACCUCCCAUUUUCUCUCUCUCUGUCUCUCUCUCUCUGUCCCUCUCUCUCUCUCUCUCUCUCUGUCCCCCUCUCUCUAUCUCUCUCUCUCUCUCUCUCUCUCUCUCACACACACACACACACACACACGCUUCAGGCCUAGAAGUGUACACAGUGCCAUGACCUUUACUAGCUGUCUUCGUCCAUUAGGGCUGCUAUAACUAAACAUCCUCCACUGGAUGGCCUCUAAACAACAGAAAUUUAUUUCUCACAGUUCUUCAGGCUAGGAAGUCCAAAAUUAAGACACCAGUGGAUUUGGUGUUUGGUGAGGGCUUCCUGGUUCAGACAGGCAUCUUUUUGCUGUGUCCUUACAUGGUGGAAGGGCCCAGGGAUCUCUCUCAAGACUCUUUUAUAAGGGCACUAAUCCCAUUCGUGAGGGCUCCACUCCCAUGACCUAGUCACUUCCCAAAGGCCCCACCUCAAAGUACCAUCCCAUUGGGCAUUAGGUUUACAACAUGUGAAUUUGGGGAGCACACAUUCAGUCUACAGCACUAGUCCCACAGUAUGACACAAUCCCAUGUGGUAUCUCUAUACUCUGCCCACACCUUUGUUAAUUUCUUCUCAAAUUACCCAAUUUGACUACACUAUUGUUUUCCUCUUGGGGCUCUGACCAGCCCUAACAUCAAGGAUGAACUUGAUGCCGCCCUGACUCUAAUUUGUGAGGGCUCCUCUAAAAACCAACUGAGAUAAAUUCUUACCUGGUAGGUUGGGGGAAAAAGAUCCCAGGCUAAGUGGAAACAUUUGAUUUGAAGGUAGCUAAUGUUUAAAAUAAUUACCUUAUUAGGAAGAGCUGCACUCCCUUCUGAGACCUGGUGGUGCUUGCUUCAUUUGGAUUCCACAGAUUGUAAAAGGUCCAGUAAUGAGCUUCACAGUAAGAGAUAGUGGAAGGUUCUUUUUCGCCUAGACUGGGUGAGGGGAUGGAAAAGAGGGUAAUACUCGUCGCAUUCAUUUCCUGUUCUAAUGGGUUUUUGAUCAUUUUUGGGUAUCAGAUUGUUCCAUGUAGAAUGUCAGCCAUUUGAAAAGUGGAAAAUUCCACUCUUCUCUUUAAAUAUUAAUACCAAAUCUUAUAAGAACAAUACUGUCAGGCCUAUGAAAGGUAAACUGGUUCAAAGGGACAAAAUGGGGAAAUAGAUCAUAAGGAGUCAAGUGUUCAUGGCAUACCUUUGAAUCCAUUCACUUUUAUACCAUACAAGACCAAUCAAUUCCAAGCAAACUACUAAGUUGAAUCUCAGGGAAUUGCUAUCAUUCUACCAUUUUCUGACCUACAAAAUGGCAAUUUCCUAUGGUUCAACUAACAGAUGACUCUUGCUGUUCUUUAAGAGAACAUGACCUUCAUUUACUUCUCUGUUUCUGGGGAGCAUUUCCUCCUUACUUUAGUGGUGAACGUCAGAUUUUUCUCUGUUGGUUCCUUUGAUAAAAUAUCUGAUAGAUGAGCUUACAAACUUUGUCACAAUAUAUAAUUUUUUAUUAGUGAAUUCAUUAUAUAAGGCACAGUGACUUUGUUCCCUAUAUUUACUCUAUGGAGACUUUCGAUGAGCACACUCACACAAAUCAAUACAAUUCCAAUUCCAGAAUUGUCACUGGAAACAGUGCCUAGACAUAUAUAACCUAUAAAUGAUCACAAAAACCUUUGGACCAAUACCUUGUUGGCUAUUUAAAAUUCUACUCUCAGUUAAAAUUUAUUUAGGAAAACAUUUAGUCCUAGCAAUAAGUACCCUUUUAUUCUGCUAUCUACUUUACGUAAUUGUACUUCCUCAUAAAAAAAAUAAAGGGUAGCCUACUAAUCUUCAACCAAUGCUAAAGGAUCCUUUCCAGUGCUGGCUUACACACUGUUUUCUUUAAGGUCAAAAAAUACCAACCAAUUACGUAUGAGCCAAUUUAUGCAAUGGAUAAAUCCACUGAUGGGAAGAGUGAUGAAGCAUAAUUGCUGUGGGGAGUGCCUGGGGAUUUCAUUUUCCCAAAUAGAGUAUGUCUAGCUUUCAGAGAAAGUUAAAAAUAAAAUCGUCCUCUGAAACUGAAGCUAACAAAAUCAACAUGAUAUAAUGAAACUGGUUCUUUGAUAAAGUAACAUGUAGAGUGAUAAUCGAUGUAUGUAUUGUUUAUAAGACAAAAGUGUCUCAUAAAGGCAUCUAAAACUCUGAUCAGCAAAAAUCUCUUCUAAAUAUAUGUAAAAUACAACUAUAGUCCAGCUAACUCUGAGACGUUAUGUUGUAAAAGGUGGUUUUGAACCAAGAAUUGUGUGUAAUUUCCAGAACGGUCUGUAAAUAAAGUAUUUUGCCCUGUGGUCAUAUCAUAUGCCUACAAUUUUUUUAAAUAGGAAAAUCUGACUUCUGCUUUCACAGGUAUAGUAGUUUCCUGUGGCUGUUAUAACAAAUUACCAUAAACUUGGUAACUUGAAACAGCAGAGAUUUAUUCUCUCACAGUUCUGGAGGCCAAAGUGUGC
This 5785-nucleotide long non-coding RNA is filed under the name Equus caballus (horse). RNAcentral describes it as "lncRNA (ENSECAG00000044199.1)". The record is from RNAcentral. Lineage: Eukaryota; Metazoa; Chordata; Mammalia; Perissodactyla; Equidae.